RNAcentral lists this unclassified non-coding RNA (246 nucleotides) under Lophium arboricola. RNAcentral describes it as "partial internal transcribed spacer region". The stretch from base 1 to 46 matches the Rfam family "Eukaryotic small subunit ribosomal RNA", at positions 1786 to 1831 of the family's 1831-position model. RNAcentral also lists the same sequence under 1 other name. Lineage: Eukaryota; Fungi; Ascomycota; Dothideomycetes; Mytilinidiales; Mytilinidiaceae. The record is from RNAcentral.
AAGUCGUAACAAGGUUUCCGUAGGUGAACCUGCGGAAGGAUCAUUAUAGUAUAUCUAUAUCUAGGAUGUGGGGUGCUCUCGGGCCCCCCCGCCGCCAAACCUUGCAAAUUUGAACUUAAUAGUUACCUUGGUAGGCUUAACUGCCUGUGGAUAAAUCUAAAUUCUUUAAUAAACUGGCUGUAAUUAAUGUAACUGUCUGAAAUAAUGUUAAUAUUAAAACUUUCAACAACGGAUCUCUUGGUUCUG